Molecule: long non-coding RNA, 243 nt
Filed under: Lathyrus oleraceus (garden pea)
Lineage: Eukaryota; Viridiplantae; Streptophyta; Magnoliopsida; Fabales; Fabaceae
Description: Pisum sativum (pea) long non-coding RNA (PSAT_LNC032933)
Source: RNAcentral
GAGAGUGAAGCCUAAUUUAGUUCAGUUGAUGUAUUGUGUGUUAAUCUUGUUUAUUUGUUUGUUAUUUAUUCUGUUAUUAUUAUUCUGUCAUAAUUAUUGUCUGGUGUUUUAUUGGCUAUGUAUUAUUGGGGUUCUCUGGUUGGUGGUACUUUGUGAGAUAGGAUCUCCACACGAGUCUGAGAAAAACCAUAAGAUUAAGUUGGUGGUUGCAUAGUGGACGCCCACAAGGAGUCUUCCUUGUUG